GACGAACGCUGGCGGCGUGCUUAACACAUGCAAGUCGAACGAAGAGCGAUGGAAGCUUGCUUCUAUCAAUCUUAGUGGCGAACGGGUGAGUAACGCGUAAUCAACCCGCCCUUCAGAGGGGGACAACAGUUGGAAACGACUGCUAAUACCGCAUACGAUCUAAUCUCGGCAUCGAGGAUAGAUGAAAGGUGGCCUCUACAUGUAAGCUAUCACUGAAGGAGGGGAUUGCGUCUGAUUAGCUAGUUGGAGGGGUAACGGCCCACCAAGGCGAUGGUCAGUAGCCGGUCUGAGAGGAUGAACGGCCACAUUGGGACUGAGACACGGCCCAGGCUCCUACGGGAGGCAGCAGGGGGGGAUCUUCCGCAAUGGACGAAAGUCUGACGGAGCAACGCCGCGGGAGUGAUGACGGCCUUCGGGUUGUAAAGCUCUGUUAAUCGGGACGAAAGGCCUUCUUGCGAAUAGUGAGAAGGAUUGACGGUACCGGAAUAGAAAGCCACGGCUAACUACGUG
Molecule: ribosomal RNA, 510 nt
Filed under: uncultured bacterium
Lineage: Bacteria
Description: partial 16S ribosomal RNA
Rfam family: Bacterial small subunit ribosomal RNA
Source: RNAcentral